Molecule: unclassified non-coding RNA, 339 nt
Filed under: uncultured fungus
Lineage: Eukaryota; Fungi
Description: partial contains 5.8S ribosomal RNA, internal transcribed spacer 2, and large subunit ribosomal RNA
Rfam family: 5.8S ribosomal RNA (bases 1-52)
Source: RNAcentral
AACGCACCUUGCGCCCUUUGGUAUUCCGAAGGGCAUGCCUGUUUGAGUGUCAUUAAAUUCUCAACUUCAAAGGGCUUUGUUGCCUCUCUGAAGCUUGGAUUAUGGAGGUCUUAAAUUGCCGGCUUCACAGUCAGCUCCUCUUAAAUGCAUUAGCGGAACUUUUUUGAUGAACCUUUUAAAAGGGGACCAGCUUUGGCUUGAUAAUAUUAUCUAUGCUAUUGUUGUGAGAACCUAUGGUUUGUUAUGUUCAGCUUCUAAUGGUCCUUUGGACUGUCUCUCUUGAGGCAUACACUCUUUAAGCUUGACCUCAAAUCAGGUAGGAUUACCCGCUGAACUUAA